This 172-nucleotide ribosomal RNA is filed under the name uncultured Helotiales. RNAcentral describes it as "partial large subunit ribosomal RNA". It matches the Rfam family "Eukaryotic large subunit ribosomal RNA", at positions 40 to 211 of the family's 3401-position model. The record is from RNAcentral. Lineage: Eukaryota; Fungi; Ascomycota; Leotiomycetes; Helotiales.
AUAUCAAUAAGCGGAGGAAAAGAAACCAACAGGGAUUACCUCAGUAACGGCGAGUGAAGCGGUAAUAGCUCAAAUUUGAAAUCUGGCUCUUUCAGGGUCCGAGUUGUAAUUUGUAGAAGAUGCUUUGGGUGUAGCUCCGGUCUAAGUUCCUUGGAACAGGACGUUCCGAAUU